AUUGAACGCUGGCGGCAUGCUUUACACAUGCAAGUCGAACGGUAACAGGCCGCAAGGUGCUGACGAGUGGCGAACGGGUGAGUAAUGCAUCGGAACGUGCCCAGUCGUGGGGGAUAACUACUCGAAAGAGUAGCUAAUACCGCAUACGAUCUAUGGAUGAAAGCGGGGGACCGUAAGGCCUCGCGCGAUUGGAGCGGCCGAUGUCAGAUUAGGUAGUUGGUGGGGUAAAGGCUCACCAAGCCAACGAUCUGUAGCUGGUCUGAGAGGACGACCAGCCACACUGGGACUGAGACACGGCCCAGACUCCUACGGGAGGCAGCAGUGGGGAAUUUUGGACAAUGGGCGCAAGCCUGAUCCAGCAAUGCCGCGUGCAGGAAGAAGGCCUUCGGGUUGUAAACUGCUUUUGUACGGAACGAAACGGCUCUGGUUAAUACCCGGAGCUAAUAACGGUACCGUAAGAAUAAGCACCGGCUAACUACGUG
Molecule: ribosomal RNA, 482 nt
Filed under: uncultured bacterium
Lineage: Bacteria
Description: partial 16S ribosomal RNA
Rfam family: Bacterial small subunit ribosomal RNA
Source: RNAcentral